This 513-nucleotide ribosomal RNA is filed under the name Metainae sp. 124. RNAcentral describes it as "SSU rRNA". It matches the Rfam family "Eukaryotic small subunit ribosomal RNA", at positions 56 to 562 of the family's 1831-position model. The record is from RNAcentral. Lineage: Eukaryota; Metazoa; Arthropoda; Arachnida; Araneae; Tetragnathidae.
UGUCUGAGUACAUGCCGUAUUAAGGCGAAACCGCGAAUGGCUCAUUAAAUCAGUUAUGGUUCCUUGGAUCGUACUUCACUACUUGGAUAACUGUGGCAAUUCUAGAGCUAAUACAUGCAGCAGAGCUCCGACCUUCGGGGACGAGCGCUUUUAUUAGACCAAAACCGAUCGGGCCUCGUGUCCGUGAAACGUGGUGACUCUGUAUAACUUUGGGCUGAUCGCACGGGCUUGUCCCGGCGACGUAUCUUUCAAGUGUCUGCCUUAUCAACUGUCGAUGGUAGGUUACGCGCCUACCAUGGUCGUAACGGGUAACGGGGGAUCAGGGUUCGAUUCCGGAGAGGGAGCCUGAGAAACGGCUACCACAUCCAAGGAAGGCAGCAGGCGCGCAAAUUACCCACUCCCGGAACGGGGAGGUAGUGACGAAAAAUAACAAUACGGGACUCUUUUGAGACCCCGUAAUUGGAAUGAGUACACUCUAAAUCCUUUAACGAGGAUCUAUUUGAGGGAAAGUCU